GCAAGACGUUGAAGAUCUCAAACAAACUAUUGUUGGGUCUAGCAGAAGCUGCAGCAUCACUCCUUAUGAGGAUGAUUUUGACGAUUCAGCCAGAGAUGCCAUAAUUAAGGAAAGCAAUGACAACUAUGAUGGGGAAGGGGCUGGACGUAGUGGAGAAGGUACCUCUAAUGACGUAGACGCACCACACCAAAAGUGGAUACAGCAUCCAAAUGGGCCCAAUCUAAUUGAAAAUUGGAUUGGGAAUUUCAAUUAAUGCACACAAUGACAAGGUAACUCGGAUAAAGAGGCCAUGCAAUGCCAGCGGCAUAGAUGAUCAUCCUACUGCCAGUAGCAUGGGGUUUGGUGCUACUACUGCUACCACCAGCACCACUGCACCGUCUUUGGGUGUCAGGACUUUAUGCUGAUGAUGAUGAUGGAGUGGAGCUGGGUUCAGCAACUCAAAAACUGAAAGAUUCCAGCAAGUAUGUCAUUUUCAAGUAUCCACUUAUUUUCUCAUGUGGGUUUUCCUUUUCCCAGAAACUGUCUUUUUUUUUUUUGGCACACAUUUGUUUCUUGUAUGUGACUAUGUCUCUGUUUGGCUGCAAGGAAACUUGAGGAAAAUUAAUGUAGAAAGGGUAAAAAACUUAUGAAUUCUAUCUCAUUUGAUGUUUUAGUUUUGGGGAAUUAUAAUGCUUGACUAAUAUGAUCUGAAAUAGUGGAGCUAGACUUGGUUCUUGAGUUCUCAACUUUCUGGGUUCCCUCUGAAACAUAUAAAUUUUGUUUUCUUGUCCCAUAUUUUUAAUAGAAUCUGAAAGAGUGACAAAAUGCUGGGGUUUUUUCUUAUGGUUUUGUUGUCAGAACACAUAAACACGGCUCAAGCAAGCCAGUUGUGUUUGGCUUUGCUGGCAAUUUCUUUCCUUCACAUAAAAUGCAAUUUUUUCCGCAUGAAAAUAGGAGCUUAUUAUGGGUUAGAUUGUUUUGUAUAUAUGUUUUCUGAAAGUACCAGUUGGAGCUAAGCCAGAAAGCUUUGGAGAGAAUAUAAUUGUAUAUUUGGGAAAAGGUUGUGGGACGACCCACAUUGCUGUACUGCUUAUACACAAGCUGGGCCACUUGAAAAGGAAGCCCCAGAAGAACAUAUGCGUCUUUUUUGCCCCUACAGUGGUUCUGUUUCUGCUGGGAGGAAUGAUGGGUGUAGUAGUUUUGGUGUCACUACAAAGAAAGUCGUUGGAUCCAUAGGAGGUUUCAAUAGUCAGCUACUAGCCAGGAUGGAUGGUGCAGAAACGUGGACUCCCGUCUUGUAAAAAAACAAGAUGGACAACAAAUUUGGCAAAUUCAAUCCACUGUAAGGCUUCGCUUUAUGACAAUUGGGACAUUAUUCGUGAAGAUGUAGUGGAAAAACAUUUUAGACCACUAAAAUCAUCCAAACACUCUGUAUAAAUACAUGUUUUCCUCAAAGUGAAAUUCCAGAAUGGUUCAACCAUCAAUGCAUGGGCCCUUCUCUGGCUAUCCAGCUAUCUCAAAAUUUCAGUAUUGAUAGUGACUGUUGUAUUUUACUAUUUCCCUCCUAGCCUGCUAGAACAUAAAGUUGCAUGGUUUUGGUUAAAUUCUUCCAUACGGUUGGGAACCUUUGGUUGAUGACUACUUGUUUGUGCCUCCCUCGCUAUGCAGAAAACUAAUAUUUAUAUGCAUUGGUUUAAUGAGAAAUUCUUGACCUCACUUUUAGUGUU
Molecule: long non-coding RNA, 1706 nt
Organism: Quercus lobata
Lineage: Eukaryota; Viridiplantae; Streptophyta; Magnoliopsida; Fagales; Fagaceae
Exons: 2
Source: RefSeq, a predicted model, not a curated record